AUUAUUCGCGGAUGUGCCAUAGCCAAGUUUUGCAGCCUGUUGGAACAUAACGACCAAAGAAUCUAAGGUUUCCUCUGCAGUCGGUAUAAUUUGACUUGCUGGCAGAAUAAAGCCGUAUCUUCCUGUGUCUCGAAGUUCAGAAUGCUUUUUCACCAGGGUAUAUAUCGCUGCAUGGAUUUCGGCUGGUACCACCCUCUAAAAUAUUGAUAGAAGCAACGUAACAGAAGCGCCACUUUUCAGCAGUCGUUACCUGCCCAAUGGAAAUUCCAGUUUCUGUUUGGAUCAGCUCCGUAACAACCCCUUCCAGAAGGUCUUCUGGUCUUCCGCCAUAGACGAUUCUAAACAGCCAAAGAAAACAAUAUAAUUUACAGAUAACAGGCCGAUAGCAGAAUGAAAUAAUUUAAAGAAGAUAUUCGACGAUCUUAUCGUAAGAAGUAUCGUUUAAAUAGCGAUUUGCGUCAAAGUCGUUUGUGAAUACCCACUUUAUCAUUUUUGUUGAUGGAGGAAAUAGUUUUGAUUGCGAACGAAACAAACGUGUAAUCGAAACCUACAUCUGCCGUAGAAAGCGAGGAUGUUCAUGUAUUUAUGGAAAGUUUAUGGAAAAGAAUUGGAAAAAUGCGCACGAUCUGCCUAACUUACAAAAGUAUUAUACAAGAUCAUCGAGAUAUACCUAGUGUUCCUUUUUAGCGAUUAAACAUUGUUUGCGUUAUACGAAAACUAUGAAAGCGUUCUUACCAUAGUAUGAGUGUACUCGUAGCCAUCAGGAUUGAAUACAGGGAAAAUAUACCAAUCGUACGACUCCGCCAUAUAUCUGACACGAGAGUCAUCGCUAAGGAUCAAUUCGUUCAGGAUGAAAUCUUUACGCCUCUGAUACUCCUGCCUUCGUAGCUACUUCCGCCGGUUAUUGGUUUCACUAUCUUAGGAUACUGCGUUACGAGGGAAUCUAGCCAGCUAUAAAUCUGAAAGGAAGAUGUUCGAUCAAUAAUGCGUUGCCUUCUAAAAGGACAAACGAUGAAAUUAAUUACUUUAUUUAAAUCAUUUAAUUAUAUAACAAAAUUGAAUCGUGCUUUUACAUUUAUCGAUGUUUACUUUAUAUUCUUAAUAACUGAUAAUAAAUUAAUUCGACAAUUUUAUACUUAGUAAAUUGCACGUAGUAUUGCGGUAUAUUGCGAUAUAGUAGCGCAUUAGUAUGAUGGAAUGGUAAGAUGGUGAUAAUUUAAUGCGAAAAUAUAGUACGCUGGGAUAAUAAUAAUAUUGCAGGAAAACGUGAUAGUAAAGUAUAGUGAAAUAGAGUGACAACGGUGUAGUAUGAUAUUACGAAAACAUUGUAGUAAUAUCGAUAGUACGUUAUUGUUUACGAUAGCACAAUACCAUGGUGAUACCAUUUUUUUAUUUUGAAAUUUUAUUAUAAUUCUUAUGGCAAUUUCGAAAUAUUUUUGCUCGUGAAAUAAACGAUGAUAACUGAACUGACGGAAGGAAAAAGGAGAGAAAAUUUAAAUUAAUCCAAUCGGUGAUAACCGAGCCAGUCGAAACCACCUCUUACAUUGCCACGAGGAUUCUCAUCGUCGAUAUACCUUUGCACGUCGUCCAUCAUCAAUUCUGGUUCAAGCUUCGACGUGUUCACUUUUUCCAUGAAUUCUUGGAUCUUUGCCGGAGCGAUCAUCACUUCUGCGGUGUUGUUGAUCCUCGGUGGAUGCCAUAAAUGUGGCAUAAACACUUCCAAGAAGAAAAAGAAGAUGCAGAAGAAUAGCUCGCGUCGUGGAAUUUGACUGCAUUUCGACAAUUAGUAACGAGAGAACCUAUCAAACUUUGGAAAAUUUAUCAUAGGAUCCUAAACACUGUCCCUGAAAUAUAGCGAGGCUUCAGAAUUUUCCAACGCGAUCGAUUCGCGGCCAAUGUUCUAGCGAGAAAGUUGCGCUUUCUCACGGCGACUUUGAACCGGAGACUAAUCGAUAUCGCUUUCUUUUCCGUCUGAA
Long non-coding RNA from Bombus pyrosoma, 1976 nucleotides. RefSeq lists it as uncharacterized. The transcript is spliced from 10 exons. The record is from RefSeq and is a predicted model, not a curated record. Lineage: Eukaryota; Metazoa; Arthropoda; Insecta; Hymenoptera; Apidae.